Molecule: long non-coding RNA, 203 nt
Filed under: Gossypium raimondii (Peruvian cotton)
Lineage: Eukaryota; Viridiplantae; Streptophyta; Magnoliopsida; Malvales; Malvaceae
Description: long non-coding RNA (GRAI_LNC000349)
Source: RNAcentral
GAGUCUACUGGCUCAAUGGUUAAACCUCAGUAUACCCUUUGGUCCUCUUUUCAAGUCUCUACGUAAGCAAUGAGGAAUUAUUUUUACACCGUAUGGUAAUUAGUUUAUUUUUAUUAAUUAAAUAUUUGUUUUUCUAAAAAUAAUUUCCCUCUUACGUUUUUUUAUUUUUCUUGAACUUUCUUUUUUCUUCUUCUUUACUAUCG